AACGAACGCUGGCGGCAUGCCUAACACAUGCAAGUCGAACGAGACCUUCGGGUCUAGUGGCGCACGGGUGCGUAACGCGUGGGAACCUGCCCUUAGGUUCGGAAUAACUCCCCGAAAGGGGUGCUAAUACCGGAUAAUGUCUUCGCACCAAAGAUUUAUCGCCUUUGGAUGGGCCCGCGUUGGAUUAGCUAGUUGGUAGGGUAAAAGCCUACCAAGGCGACGAUCCAUAGCUGGUCUGAGAGGAUGAUCAGCCACACUGGGACUGAGACACGGCCCAGACUCGUACGGGAGGCAGCAGUGGGGAAUAUUGGACGAUGGGCGAAAGCCUGAUCCAGCAAUGCCGCGCGAGUGAUGAAGGCCUUAGGGUUGUAAAGCUCUUUUACCCGGGAUGAUAAUGACAGUACCGGGAGAAUAAGCUCCGGCUAACUCCGUG
RNAcentral lists this ribosomal RNA (433 nucleotides) under uncultured bacterium. Its description in RNAcentral is "partial 16S ribosomal RNA". It matches the Rfam family "Bacterial small subunit ribosomal RNA", at positions 29 to 507 of the family's 1533-position model. The record is from RNAcentral.